Atta colombica is the source of this 699-nucleotide long non-coding RNA. RefSeq lists it as uncharacterized. The record is from RefSeq and is a predicted model, not a curated record. NCBI's taxonomy places the organism in Eukaryota, Metazoa, Arthropoda, Insecta, Hymenoptera, Formicidae. The transcript is spliced from 3 exons.
UGGAAAGUUGUUGAGCUAAUUCCAUCGAUGAUGCGCACAAUGUUCUUCUGCUCAUCACGUCAAAUGGGCCUCCUUUUAACGUCUGGAUCUAUUGACACACCGCCAGCUUCUCGAACAAUAAGAUCUCCAGCUGCAACAUCCCAUGCAUGUAUACCAAAUUCAAAAGAAGCGUCAACACCACCAAGAGCCACCAUGCACAUAUUUAGAGCUGCCGCACCAAACGAUCGUAUUCUGUAGGAUAAGACUAUUUUCAAUUUUUCUGGAUCUCUACUAGUUCCCACUUCUAACAUUACUAAUGCCUGACGCAAUUCUGGAGUAAUGACAGUUAGUUAAAUUUAACAAAAUAAUUAGAAGGACUCGAAUUAUAUAUUAAAAAUAUUGAUUUAUAUAUAUUGUAUAUAUAGGAAUUUUUGUAAACUAAAAUUUAAAUAGUUGUGUGUAGUCAUAUGAAAAAGAUUUUCAAAAUUUGAAAUGCAGGAUAAUCUUUUUGAUGCUACGUAUGGUACCGUAAGAUAUAUGUAUUUCAAUUUACUCUUUACUAAUCGUUUAAAAAUGUUCGUUUUAAUAAUUAUUUACAUUACAUAUAAUCGAGUUUAUGAUUAAAGUACUAACAAAACAUUUGAAUAAAUAUUUUGAGCGCGUAUAUAAAUGCCAAACUAUAAAGAUCUAUCGGAAGGAUAUUAUAUGUAUAAUCCUAUC